RNAcentral lists this small RNA (26 nucleotides) under Bombyx mori (domestic silkworm). RNAcentral's name for it is "ovarian small RNA-35204". Lineage: Eukaryota; Metazoa; Arthropoda; Insecta; Lepidoptera; Bombycidae. The record is from RNAcentral.
UGGUUACUUCUGCCGCAUAGGUGUCG